CAGCAGCCGCGGGAACACGAAGGGUGCAAGCGUUACUCGGAAUUACUGGGCGUAAAGCGUGCGUAGGUGGUGGUUUAAGUCCGUUGUGAAAGCCCUGGGCUCAACCUGGGAAUUGCAGCGGAUACUGGAUCACUAGAGAGUGGUAGAGGAUAGUGGAAUUUCCGGUGUAGCAGUGAAAUGCGUAGAGAUCGGAAGGAACAUCUGUGGCGAAGGCGACUAUCUGGGCCAACACUGACACUGAGGCACGAAAGCGUGGGGAGCAAACAGGAUUAGAUACCCCCGUAGUCCCUGUCUCUUAUAC
Molecule: ribosomal RNA, 301 nt
Filed under: uncultured bacterium
Lineage: Bacteria
Description: partial 16S ribosomal RNA
Rfam family: Bacterial small subunit ribosomal RNA
Source: RNAcentral